This 484-nucleotide ribosomal RNA is filed under the name uncultured bacterium. RNAcentral describes it as "partial 16S ribosomal RNA". It matches the Rfam family "Bacterial small subunit ribosomal RNA", at positions 30 to 507 of the family's 1533-position model. The record is from RNAcentral.
AUUGAACGCUGGCGGCAGGCCUAACACAUGCAAGUCGAGCGGAUGAAGGGAGCUUGCUCCUGGAUUCAGCGGCGGACGGGUGAGUAAUGCCUAGGAAUCUGCCUGGUAGUGGGGGAUAACGUCCGGAAACGGGCGCUAAUACCGCAUACGUCCUGAGGGAGAAAGUGGGGGAUCUUCGGACCUCACGCUAUCAGAUGAGCCUAGGUCGGAUUAGCUAGUUGGUGGGGUAAAGGCCUACCAAGGCGACGAUCCGUAACUGGUCUGAGAGGAUGAUCAGUCACACUGGAACUGAGACACGGCCCAGACUCCUACGGGAGGCAGCAGUGGGGAAUAUUGGACAAUGGGCGAAAGCCUGAUCCAGCCAUGCCGCGUGUGUGAAGAAGGUCUUCGGAUUGUAAAGCACUUUAAGUUGGGAGGAAGGACAGUAAGUUAAUACCUUGCUGUUUUGACGUUACCAACAGAAUAAGCACCGGCUAACUUCGUG